RNAcentral lists this ribosomal RNA (451 nucleotides) under uncultured bacterium. Its description in RNAcentral is "partial 16S ribosomal RNA". It matches the Rfam family "Bacterial small subunit ribosomal RNA", at positions 29 to 523 of the family's 1533-position model. The record is from RNAcentral.
AGCGAACGCUGGCGGCAGGCUUAACACAUGCAAGUCGAGCGGGCAUAGCAAUAUGUCAGCGGCAGACGGGUGAGUAACGCGUGGGAACGUACCUUUUGGUUCGGAACAACUGAGGGAAACUUCAGCUAAUACCGGAUAAGCCCUUACGGGGAAAGAUUUAUCGCCGAAAGAUCGGCCCGCGUCUGAUUAGCUAGUUGGUGAGGUAAUGGCUCACCAAGGCGACGAUCAGUAGCUGGUCUGAGAGGAUGAUCAGCCACAUUGGGACUGAGACACGGCCCAAACUCCUACGGGAGGCAGCAGUGGGGAAUAUUGGACAAUGGGCGCAAGCCUGAUCCAGCAAUGCCGCGUGAGUGAUGAAGGCCUUAGGGCUGUAAAGCUCUUUUACCCGGGAUGAUAAUGACAGUACCGGGAGAAUAAGCUCCGGCUAACUCCGUGCCAGCCGCCGCGGUAA